Molecule: transfer RNA, 75 nt
Filed under: Cordylochernes scorpioides
Lineage: Eukaryota; Metazoa; Arthropoda; Arachnida; Pseudoscorpiones; Chernetidae
Description: tRNA-Thr
Rfam family: tRNA
About the family: Transfer RNA (tRNA) molecules are approximately 80 nucleotides in length. Their secondary structure includes four short double-helical elements and three loops (D, anti-codon, and T loops).
Source: RNAcentral
GUCCAGGGUAGCCUAGUGGACAUGGCAUCUGCCCGGUAAGCAGAAAACUGUGGGUUCGAUUCCCAUCCUUGGGCA